Molecule: transfer RNA, 57 nt
Filed under: Bos taurus (domestic cattle)
Lineage: Eukaryota; Metazoa; Chordata; Mammalia; Artiodactyla; Bovidae
Also listed under: 5 other names
Rfam family: tRNA
About the family: Transfer RNA (tRNA) molecules are approximately 80 nucleotides in length. Their secondary structure includes four short double-helical elements and three loops (D, anti-codon, and T loops).
Source: Rfam by way of RNAcentral
UGGCUCAGAUGGUAAAGUGUCUGCCUACAAUGCAGGAGACCCAGGUUCUAUCCCUGG